CCUACGGGUGGCAGCAGUGAGGAAUAUUGGUCAAUGGGCGAGAGCCUGAACCAGCCAAGUCGCGUGAGGGAGUACUGUCCUAUGGGUUGUAAACCACUUUCGUCGGGGAGCAAAAGCCGGAUGUGUGCGGCUGGGAGAGCACCCGAAGAAAAAGCAUCGGCCAAGUUCGUGCGAGCAGCGGCGGGAAUACGGGGGAUGCGAGCGUUGUCCGGAUUUAUUGGGUGUAAAGGGGGCGGAGGCGGAUUUGUAAGUGAGCGGUCAAAACGUGCGGCUCAACCCCAUCCAGCCGUUAAAACUGGAGAUCUUGAGUGUACGAGAGGUAUGCGGAAUGCGUGGUGUAGCGGUGAAAUGCGUAGAUAUCACGCGGAACCCCAGUUGCGAAGGCGGCCUGCCGGUGUACAACUGACGCUGAGGCUCGAAAGCGUGGGUAUCGAACAGGAUUAGAUACCCUUGUAGUC
This 458-nucleotide ribosomal RNA is filed under the name uncultured bacterium. RNAcentral's name for it is "partial 16S ribosomal RNA". It matches the Rfam family "Bacterial small subunit ribosomal RNA", at positions 338 to 795 of the family's 1533-position model. The record is from RNAcentral.